Molecule: small RNA, 133 nt
Filed under: Desulfobulbus propionicus
Lineage: Bacteria; Pseudomonadati; Thermodesulfobacteriota; Desulfobulbia; Desulfobulbales; Desulfobulbaceae
Also listed under: 1 other name
Description: c-di-AMP sequence
Rfam family: c-di-AMP riboswitch aptamer (ydaO/yuaA leader)
About the family: This family represents a conserved RNA structure found upstream of the ydaO and yuaA genes in Bacillus subtilis and related genes in other bacteria. The ydaO/yuaA element is thought to act as a genetic "off" switch for the ydaO and yuaA genes in its native state.
Source: RNAcentral
UGCCAGACAUUGCUGAAUUCCGCGGCAAACGGAAGCGGGGGAACCAAUUUGUUGGGGCGAAUCGCGCACUGCGCGUAAGGCAUCUCUCAGCCUGAGUCCGUCAGCUCACCUCGCAAGCGCAAUGAGAGCCUCC